RNAcentral lists this transfer RNA (39 nucleotides) under Pilotrichella ampullacea. RNAcentral's name for it is "partial tRNA-Phe". The record is from RNAcentral. RNAcentral also lists the same sequence under 5 other names. Lineage: Eukaryota; Viridiplantae; Streptophyta; Bryopsida; Hypnales; Lembophyllaceae.
GCCGGAAUAGCUCAGUUGGUAGAGCAGAGGACUGAAAAU